GUUAUAUACAAUAAUAUUAAUAAAAUAACUUAAUUAAUAAUAGCUAACAUUUAUGUAGAACUUAUUAAAUUAUGUAGAACUUAUUAAAUUACAGGCAUCUCACUAAAUUCCUUAUAAUUGUUAUCUCAUUUGAUCCUCAAAUGUGCAAUUAUCCUUAUUUUGCAGAUGAGGAAACUGAGGCAGACACAAGUUAUAUGAUUUGUUUGGCUAGUAAAUAAGUAUAUAAUGACAUAUUUGAACUCAGGCCUUCCUGACUCCAGACCUGAAAGCAGAACCAGGAACCAAAAGGUAGAAAUUAUUUAAAGGCAACUUUAAAAUUAAGGUAAGAAAAAUAACUUCUUUAAAAAAUUUUAAAUUUAGAAUAUUUUUCCAUGUUUACAAGAUUCAUGAUU
This 392-nucleotide long non-coding RNA is filed under the name Monodelphis domestica (gray short-tailed opossum). RNAcentral's name for it is "lncRNA (ENSMODG00000039336.1)". The record is from RNAcentral. Lineage: Eukaryota; Metazoa; Chordata; Mammalia; Didelphimorphia; Didelphidae.